Molecule: ribosomal RNA, 253 nt
Filed under: uncultured prokaryote
Description: partial 16S ribosomal RNA
Rfam family: Bacterial small subunit ribosomal RNA
Source: RNAcentral
AUACGUAGGGGGCAAGCGUUGUCCGGAAUUAUUGGGCGUAAAGAGCGCGCAGGCGGGUCUGUCAGUCUACCGUGAAAGCUUACGGCUCAACCGUAACGGGUCGGUGGAUACUGCAGAUCUUGAGGGCAGGAGAGGAAAGUGGAAUUCCCAGUGUAGCGGUGAAAUGCGUAGAUAUUGGGAGGAACACCAGUGGCGAAGGCGACUUUCUGGACUGUUACUGACGCUGAGGCGCGAAAGCUGGGGGAGUGAACGG